This 2059-nucleotide ribosomal RNA is filed under the name Streptococcus ferus DSM 20646. Its description in RNAcentral is "bacterial LSU rRNA". It matches the Rfam family "Bacterial large subunit ribosomal RNA", at positions 853 to 2925 of the family's 2925-position model. The record is from RNAcentral. Lineage: Bacteria; Bacillati; Bacillota; Bacilli; Lactobacillales; Streptococcaceae.
UCUCUCCGAAAUAGCUUUAGGGCUAGCGUCGACAUGAGAAUCAUGGAGGUAGAGCACUGUUUGGGUGAGGGGUCCAUCCCGGAUUACCAAUCUCAGAUAAACUCCGAAUGCCAUUGAUUUAUGGUCGGCAGUCAGACUGCGAGUGCUAAGAUCCGUAGUCGAAAGGGAAACAGCCCAGACCACCAGCUAAGGUCCCUAAAUAAUUGUUAAGUGGAAAAGGAUGUGGGGUUGCACAGACAACUAGGAUGUUAGCUUAGAAGCAGCUAUUCAUUCAAAGAGUGCGUAAUAGCUCACUAGUCGAGUGACCCUGCGCCGAAAAUGUACCGGGGCUAAAACAAUUUACCGAAGCUGUGGAUAACACUUAGGUGUUAUGGUAGGAGAGCGUUCUAUGUGUGGCGAAGGCAUACCGUGAGGAGUGCUGGAACGCAUAGAAGUGAGAAUGCCGGUAUGAGUAGCGAAAGACAGGUGAGAAUCCUGUCCACCGUAAGACUAAGGUUUCCAGGGGAAGGCUCGUCCGCCCUGGGUUAGUCGGGACCUAAGGAGAGACCGAAGGGUGUAUCCGAUGGCCAACAGGUUGAUAUUCCUGUACUAGUGUAUAUAGUGAAGGAGGGACGCAGAAGGCUAACUAAACCGGACGAAUGGAAGAGUCCGGCCAAGCAGUGAGGUGUGGACUGAGUCAAAUGCUUAGUCCUGAUACAUUGAGCUGUGAUGGGGAGCGAAGUUUAGUAGCGAAGUUAGUGAUGUCACGCUGCCAAGAAAAGCUUCUAGCGUUUAAGUAUACACUACCCGUACCGCAAACCGACACAGGUAGUCGAGGCGAGUAGCCUCAGGUGAUCGAGCGAACUCUCGUUAAGGAACUCGGCAAAAUGACCCCGUAACUUCGGGAGAAGGGGUGCUCAGUAUAACUGAGCCGCAGUGAAAAGGCCCAAGCAACUGUUUAUCAAAAACACAGCUCUCUGCUAAAUCGUAAGAUGAUGUAUAGGGGGUGACGCCUGCCCGGUGCUGGAAGGUUAAGAGGAGUGCUUAGCGUAAGCGAAGGUGUGAAUUGAAGCCCCAGUAAACGGCGGCCGUAACUAUAACGGUCCUAAGGUAGCGAAAUUCCUUGUCGGGUAAGUUCCGACCCGCACGAAAGGCGUAAUGAUUUGGGCACUGUCUCAACGAGAGACUCGGUGAAAUUUUAGUACCUGUGAAGAUGCAGGUUACCCGCGACAGGACGGAAAGACCCCAUGGAGCUUUACUGCAGUUUGAUAUUGAGUAUCUGUGCCACAUGUACAGGAUAGGUAGGAGCCAUAGAAGAUGGGACGCUAGUUUCAUUGGAGGCGUUGUUGGGAUACUACCCUUGUGUUAUGGCUACUCUAACCCGAAUAGGUGAUCCCUAUUGGAGACAGUGUCUGACGGGCAGUUUGACUGGGGCGGUCGCCUCCUAAAAGGUAACGGAGGCGCCCAAAGGUUCCCUCAGAUUGGUUGGAAAUCAAUCGCAGAGUGUAAAGGUAUAAGGGAGCUUGACUGCGAGACCUACAAGUCGAGCAGGGACGAAAGUCGGGCUUAGUGAUCCGGUGGUUCCGCAUGGAAGGGCCAUCGCUCAACGGAUAAAAGCUACCCUGGGGAUAACAGGCUUAUCUCCCCCAAGAGUUCACAUCGACGGGGAGGUUUGGCACCUCGAUGUCGGCUCGUCGCAUCCUGGGGCUGUAGUCGGUCCCAAGGGUUGGGCUGUUCGCCCAUUAAAGCGGCACGCGAGCUGGGUUCAGAACGUCGUGAGACAGUUCGGUCCCUAUCCGUCGCGGGCGUAGGAAAUUUGAGAGGAUCUGCUCCUAGUACGAGAGGACCAGAGUGGACUUACCGCUGGUGUACCAGUUGUUCUGCCAAGAGCAUCGCUGGGUAGCUAUGUAGGGACGGGAUAAACGCUGAAAGCAUCUAAGUGUGAAACCCACCUCAAGAUGAGAUUUCCCAUAACGUUAUGUUAGUAAGAGCCCUGAGAGAAGAUCAGGUUGAUAGGUUAGGAGUGGAAGCGUUGUGAGACGUGUAGCGGACUAAUACUAAUCGCUCGAGGACUUAUCCU